AUGUCCCCUUUAAUAUAUAUAUGCUAAAUGUUUUGCGAUUAUCUUUUGAAAAUUCUAAGUAGGAUUGGAUAUCAUUAUUUGGAAGGUAAAAUUUUGACCAAAGAAAAGAGAUCAAAAGUAUUCUAUUUCUGCAAGUAUGGUUAUGAUGGAGUUUCUUCAAUUAAGUCGAUCAGGGAGUGGACUGAGCUGAGGAUUAUUGACGAUGAAGAAAUUUGAAUUAUUGUUGAAGGGCUGCAAAAAAUGUGUCUGUGGAUGGAAUUGUAUGACACGAACUUAAAGUGAUUGACUUUGCUGAAUAUAUCAACGAUAUGUAUUGCAAUACCCUUGCGAGAAGGACUGGAGAUCGUUGGAGAGUAAUAUUCUAACAAAAUUGACGGAAAAAAAAUUCAGUUUUCUUUGGAAGAAUAUGCGAUUCACAAUCAGUACUGGUGAAACUGGAUUCUAAGAGUAUGAAAAGUUUUUUCAAUCAAGUAGAUCGCGGUUAGAUCCAAUAUGAUGGGAAUGGAGUCGAGUGAGAGAUAAAGAAAAUUGCGAUUCUGCAAAUAGUAUGUAGAUCAAGUAGAUCGCAGAGGUGUUCAAUAUGAUGAGAAGACUGGACUCGAAAUAUAAAAAAUAUUUUGUUCCCGCUAGUUUGAUGGACGUUCUUCAAUCAAGUAGUUCGCGAAAGUAUUAGAUAUGAUGAGAGGAUUAGUGGAAAUAUUCAAUAUGAUGAGAAGAUUAGACUUGAAAGAUCAAAAGUAUUCUGUUUCUGCCAGUUUGAUGGUCGUUCUUUAAUCAAGUAGAUCGCGGAUGCAUUUAGUAUUAUUAGACUGAGCUCAAGAUAUCAAGAAAAUUAUCUUUCUACAAAUCAGACGAUGUUUCUUCAAUCAAGUAGAUCGCCGAGAUAUUCAAUAUGAUGAGAAUGGACUUGAUAGAUCAAAAGUAUUCUGUUUCUGACAGUAUGAUGAUGGUUCUUCAAUCAAGUAUAUCAUGGAAGUAUUCGAUAUGAUGAGACUGCACUCGAGGUAUCGAAAAAAUGGUGUUUCUGAACAUAAGAUGGUCGUUCUUAAAUCAAGUAGAUCGCGGAGGUAUUUAAUAUUAUGAGACUGAACUCAAGAUAUCAUGAAAAUGGCAACCCUGCAAAAUCCAUAUUUAAUGUGGCGAGAAGACUGGACUCGAUAGAUCAAAUAUGAUGGUACUGCUUCUAUAAAGUAGAUUGCGGAGGUAUUCGAUAUGAUGAGAAGAUUAGACUCGAGAGAUAAAAAGUAUUCUGUUUCUGCCCGUAUGAUGGUGGUUCUUCAAUCAAGUAGAUGAGGGAGGUAUUCGAUAUGAUGAGACUGCACUCGAGGUAUCGGGAAAAUUGUGUUUCUGAAAAAAGUAUAUCGCGGAGAUAUUUAAUAUUAUGAGACUGGACUAAAGAUAUAUAUAUGAUGAGAAGACUGCACUCAAGAUAUCAUAAAAAGUGCAAUUCUGCAAAUUCAAUAUUCAAUAUGAUGAGAAAACUGGAUUCGAAAGAUCAAAAGUAUUGUUUCUGACAGUAUGAUGGUGGUUCUUCAAUCAAGUAGCUCGCGGAGGCAUUUACUAUGAUGCGACUGGACUCAAGAUAUCAAGAAAAUUGUCUUUCUACAAAUCAGAUGGUGUUUCUUCAAUCAAGUAGACCGCCGAGAUAUUCAAUAUGAUUGGACUCGAAAGAUCAAAAGUAUUCUGUUUCUGACAAUAUGAUGGUGGUUCUUCAAUCAAGAAGAUCGCGGAGGCAUUUAAUAUUAUGAGACUGAACUCAAGAUAUCAUGAAAAUGGCAACCUUGCAAAAUCCAUAUUUAAUGUGUCGAGAAGACUGGACUCGAUAGAUCAAAUAUGAUGGUGUUUCUUCAAUCAAGUAGAUCGCGGAGGUAUUCGAUAUGAUGUGACUGCACUCGAGGUAUCAGGAAAAUUGUGUAUUUGCAAGUAUGACGGAGUUUCUUUAAGUAUAUAGCGGAGGUAUAUAAUAUGAUGCGACUGGACUCGAGAUAUCAAGAAAAUUGUGUUUCUGCAAAUUUAACAUGAGAUAUGAUGAGAACACUGGACUCGAUAUAUCGAAAGUAUUUUGUUUCUGACAGUAUGAUGGUGGUUCUUCAAUCAAGUAGUUCGCGGGGGUAUUCAAUAUUACGAGACUGGACUUAAGAUAUCAAUAUGAUGAGAGGACUGGACUUAAGAUGUCAUCAAAAUUGCAAUUCUGCAAAUUUAAUAUUCAACAUGAUGAGAGAAGAUUGGACUCGAAAGAUCAAAAGUAUUCUGUUUCUGACAGUAUGAUGGUGGUUCUUCAGUCAAGUAGUUCGCGGACAUUCAAUAUGAUUAGACUGAACCCGAGGCAUCAGGAAAAUUGUGUUUCUGCAAAUUCAACAUGAGAUAUGAUGAGAGGACUGGACUCGAUAGAUCAUAUUUGGUGGUGUUUCUUCAAUCAAGUAGAUCGCGGUACCUCCGCAAUAUGAUGAGAAGAUUGGACUCAAGAUGUCAUCAAAAUUGCAACUCUGCAAAUUCAAUAUUUAAUAUGAUGAGAAGAUUGGACUCGGAAGAUCAAAAGUAUUUUAUGUCUGCUUGUUUUAUGGUCUUUCUUCAUUCAAUUAGAUCGUGGAGGUAUUUAGUAUUAUGAAACUGAACUCAAGAUAUCAUAAAAAUGGCAACUUUGCAAAAUCCAUAUUUAAUGUGGCGAGAAGACUGGACUCGAAAGAUCAAAAGUAUUCUGUGUCUGACAGUAUGAUGGUGAUUCUUCACUCAAGUAUAUCGCGGGGGCAUUCAAUAUAAGACUGGACUAGAGAGAUCAAGAUAAUACUUAGAAAAUUGUGUUUCUGCAAAUUUGAUGGUGUUUCUUCAUUCAAGUAGCUCGGAGAGUGGACUUGUAUUCAAAAAGAGGACAUUGGACUCUAGAGAUCAAAAGUAUUUCUGCAAGUAUAAUGGAAUUUCUACCACUACUAGAUCACGGGGGCAUUCGAUAUGAUGAGACUGGCGUUCAAAAUGAUGAGACUGGACUCGAAAGACCAAAGGUAUUCUGUUUCUGCAAGUAUGAUGGAGUUUCUUCAAUUAAGUUGAGCGGCGAGGCAUGGGACUGGGCUCGAGAGAUCAUGAAUAUUCUAUUGCUGCAAUAAUGACUAUGAUGGAGUUUUCUCGAUCAAUGUUAGAGCGUUAAAAUGAAAAACACUCCACAUUUGCCGAAUUCAAGAUCUUAA
Molecule: small RNA, 3182 nt
Filed under: Drosophila mojavensis
Lineage: Eukaryota; Metazoa; Arthropoda; Insecta; Diptera; Drosophilidae
Description: GI25791
Source: RNAcentral